RNAcentral lists this small nuclear RNA (166 nucleotides) under Pogona vitticeps (central bearded dragon). RNAcentral's name for it is "U1 spliceosomal RNA (ENSPVIG00000025633.1)". It matches the Rfam family "U1 spliceosomal RNA". From Rfam's summary of the family: U1 is a small nuclear RNA (snRNA) component of the spliceosome (involved in pre-mRNA splicing). The record is from Rfam by way of RNAcentral. Lineage: Eukaryota; Metazoa; Chordata; Lepidosauria; Squamata; Agamidae.
ACUUAUACCUUGCAGGGAAAAUACCAUGUCAUAAAAGUGGUUUUCUCACAGGGAGGCUUAUCCAUUGUACCUCAGGUAUGCUGCUGAUCCCUAUGAUUUCCCCAAAUGGGGGGAACUCAACUGUGUGAUUUGUGUUAAUGGGGGAUUGCCCUUGUGAUUUCCCUGG